This 254-nucleotide ribosomal RNA is filed under the name uncultured bacterium. Its description in RNAcentral is "partial 16S ribosomal RNA". It matches the Rfam family "Bacterial small subunit ribosomal RNA", at positions 524 to 776 of the family's 1533-position model. The record is from RNAcentral.
UACGUAGGGUGCAAGCGUUGUCCGGAUUUAUUGGGCGUAAAGAGCUCGUAGGCGGCUUAGUAAGUCGGGUGUGAAACCUCCAGGCUCAACCUGGAGACGCCACCCGAUACUGCUGUGGCUUGAGUCCGGUAGGGGAGCGUGGAAUUCCUGGUGUAGCGGUGAAAUGCGCAGAUAUCAGGAGGAACACCAGCGGCGAAGGCGGCGCUCUGGGCCGGAACUGACGCUGAGGAGCGAAAGCGUGGGUAGCAAACAGG